RNAcentral lists this long non-coding RNA (275 nucleotides) under Lathyrus oleraceus (garden pea). Its description in RNAcentral is "Pisum sativum (pea) long non-coding RNA (PSAT_LNC034071)". The record is from RNAcentral. Lineage: Eukaryota; Viridiplantae; Streptophyta; Magnoliopsida; Fabales; Fabaceae.
AAUUUCAUACAACUUGUUUAUGUUUCAAGUCCUUUUCAGUUUCCUCAUUUGAGCCAUAUCUUGUGAUUGUAUAUAUUGUUUGUUUGUCUUUGUUUUGUUGGUGGUCUUAGGACCUUAAAACAUCUAAUAACAACAAAAAACCCUAAAAAACAUUUGUUGGACUGUUGGGAUUUGAUAUGAACUUUUGGACUUAAAACUAGACAACAUUCCCUGUGCUAUAGGACUUGGCCAAUGCCAACAUCUGAGACUAAUCUAUCUUUGACCAUGCCUUCAUC